GGUAGAAUGGCUGAUAUAAGCAUUAGACUGUAAAUCUAAGUAUAGAGGUUUAAGUCCUCUUUUUGCCA
This 68-nucleotide transfer RNA is filed under the name Solomys ponceleti (Ponceleti's Solomys). Its description in RNAcentral is "tRNA-Tyr". It matches the Rfam family "tRNA". From Rfam's summary of the family: Transfer RNA (tRNA) molecules are approximately 80 nucleotides in length. Their secondary structure includes four short double-helical elements and three loops (D, anti-codon, and T loops). Further hydrogen bonds mediate the characteristic L-shaped molecular structure. tRNAs have two regions of fundamental functional importance: the anti-codon, which is responsible for specific mRNA codon recognition, and the 3' end, to which the tRNAs corresponding amino acid is attached (by aminoacyl-tRNA synthetases). tRNAs cope with the degeneracy of the genetic code in two manners: having more than one tRNA (with a specific anti-codon) for a particular amino acid; and 'wobble' base-pairing, i.e. permitting non-standard base-pairing at the 3rd anti-codon position. Lineage: Eukaryota; Metazoa; Chordata; Mammalia; Rodentia; Muridae. The record is from RNAcentral.